CAUGUCUCUUUCUCAUUAGAUCAGACAUAUACCGAAUUUUGUUCUGUUCCUUAAUUAAGAGAUCAACUAUGCGUAGUUGCGUACUCAUCUUCGCGACCUGAUUUUUUAUGUCGUGCAUAGGGACUUUACUUUACAACGAACCUAUACGGUGGUUUUAGUUCGAAUACUAAACAUUGCAGCACACAGUUAAUGUUUUUGCAAGACGUGACUAAGUUUUUAUCCACCUGUCCACAUGUGUUUCGCCUUGUAUGAUCGUAUCCACCCUAAAACCGGCACCAGAAAACUGAUUUCGUAGGGAAUUUGAAAAAAUUGGUCGUUUGCGCGCUCCUUUGUUUCCUUACC
Long non-coding RNA from Arabidopsis thaliana (thale cress), 342 nucleotides. RefSeq annotates it as other RNA. The record is from RefSeq. The transcript has a single exon. Lineage: Eukaryota; Viridiplantae; Streptophyta; Magnoliopsida; Brassicales; Brassicaceae.